AGCCAUCAACUACAGAAUUGUAAGUUAUAAUAUUUGGAACUAAAUUCUUAAGAAACAUUUCUUCAAGUAAAUGCAUAGCUUCAUUCACUCUACUAAUCUUGCAAUAACCUUUAAUCAAGACAUUA
This 125-nucleotide microRNA precursor is filed under the name Cajanus cajan (pigeon pea). RNAcentral's name for it is "miRNA gene-KK1_041107". Lineage: Eukaryota; Viridiplantae; Streptophyta; Magnoliopsida; Fabales; Fabaceae. The record is from RNAcentral.